AAAGGUUUCUUUAAUUCAAUGGAUAAAUAUUUGAGGAACCACCAGGAAACAGGUGUGGCUGCAAAGAGUGAGCAAGGUGAAGAGGUGGGAGAAGAGGAGAGAAGGAAGGUGAAGGGCCUUGUGGGUUUCUGCCCCAAAGAGUCGCCCAAAGGGAAAGAGAAAACACCCCGCCCCGAUCUCUGGGACCGUGUAUACCAUGCAAAGCUGCGGGUAACCAAGGUAGCCUCCCGCGCUCUGGAGGGUCCCAGGAGGGCGCCAAGGCGGAGGAGCGCUCUCUGCCCCGCGCCCAAGGGACCGCAGCUUGGUUCAGUCACUGGGUUUGAAAAGUAGUGCCCGGUCUGCCACGAGCCAGGCUGCAUGCUCCAGGCACUCCGGAGACCCUGGAGAAGCUCCUCAGAUGUCUCCACCUUCUGCCUCCGACCCAGCACGAGUCUGCACCGUGGAGCGCCACCUGCACGCAGCAGCCCCGAAGAAGAGGCGUGUCCCCAUCUUACAGAGGCGAAAACUGAGGAUUAGACGCUACAGGGCCCACAGCGAGUCCGUGACGGAUUUAGGGGUCAAAUCUCUUUACAUAACGGCAAAAACACUAAAAAUCACAGCAGCUAACCUUUGUCCAGCGCUUACUGCGUUCACUGCACUUGGCAUGCAUUGUCUCAUUUCAUUUGUCAACACCUCCAAGGGUGGGUAGGUCAAUCCUUCUUCUUCUUUUUCUUUUCUUUUUUUUUUUACAAAUAAGGGGCUGUUAGGUUUGGGGGACUCCCCCAAGGCAUAGGGUGCUGGAAUUUGAACACAAGUCUGCUCAGAGCUUGUCUCAAGGUGCCCUUGAAUGACAGACUGUUCCAAGAAAGCCUGAACUUGCAAACACAGGGAGAAAAUGAGUUGUUUUUGUUUUUUUGAGAGGAGGUCCCGGGAGGUCCAAAGGCCUCCACAGCUCUCCGCUUUAACGUGGCUCCCUCUUUUCCUUUGGAUUCCCGCGCGCUCAAUCGGGUGACCCGUGGGAAAAGGGAGAAAUCCGAAAGAAGGAAAGGCGAGCGAAACAGACCCGGCAGCUUCCGCUCCGGAGCGGGGCGCACGGCGGCCAGGACCCCGCAGCCCCGGGGGCCGUCGGGAGCCCCGCCCC
Molecule: long non-coding RNA, 1120 nt
Organism: Bos taurus (domestic cattle)
Lineage: Eukaryota; Metazoa; Chordata; Mammalia; Artiodactyla; Bovidae
Source: Ensembl